This 484-nucleotide ribosomal RNA is filed under the name uncultured bacterium. Its description in RNAcentral is "partial 16S ribosomal RNA". It matches the Rfam family "Bacterial small subunit ribosomal RNA", at positions 30 to 507 of the family's 1533-position model. The record is from RNAcentral.
AUUGAACGCUGGCGGCAGGCCUAACACAUGCAAGUCGAGCGGAUGAAGGGAGCUUGCUCCUGGAUUCAGCGGCGGACGGGUGAGUAAUGCCUAGGAAUCUGCCUGGUAGUGGGGGAUAACGUCCAGAAACGGGCGCUAAUACCGCAUACGUCCUGAGGGAGAAAGUGGGGGAUCUGCGGACCUCACGCUGUCAGAUGAGCCUAGGUCGGAUUAGCUAGUUGGUGGGGUAAAGGCCUACCAAGGCGACGAUCCGUAACUGGUCUGAGAGGAUGAUCAGUCACACUGGAACUGAGACACGGUCCAGACUCCUACGGGAGGCAGAAGUGGGGAAUAUUGGACGAUGGGCGGAAGCCUGAUCCAGCCAUGCCGCGUGUGUGAAGAAGGUCUUCGGAUUGUAAAGCACUUUAAGUGGGGAGGAAGGGCAGUACGUUAAUACCUUGCUGUUUUGACGGUACCAACAGAAUAAGCACCGGCUAACUUCGUG